GGAGUUAGCCGGUGCUUCUUCUGUGAGUGAUGUCCUUCCUGCCGGCUAUUAACCCGCAGGCCUUCUUCCUCACUGAAAGUGCUUUACAACCCGAAGGCCUUCUUCACACACGCGGCAUGGCUGGAUCAGGGUUGCCCCCAUUGUCCAAUAUUCCCCACUGCUGCCUCCCGUAGGAGUCUGGGCCGUGUCUCAGUCCCAGUGUGGCUGAUCAUCCUCUCAGACCAGCUACGGAUCGUCGCCUUGGUGAGCCGUUACCUCACCAACCAGCUAAUCCGACAUAGGCUCAUCCGAUAGCGCGAGGCCCGAAGGUCCCCCGCUUUCCCCCGUAGGGCGUAUGCGGUAUUAGCCUGGGUUUCCCCAGGUUAUCCCCCGACUACCGGGCAGAUUCCUAUGCAUUACUCACCCGUCCGCCGCUCGCCACCAGGGAGCAAGCUCCCCGUGCUGCCGCUCGACUUGCAUGUGUAGGCUCGCCGCCACGCGUCAUCUGAGCCACUAAUACAACUACUGA
This 508-nucleotide ribosomal RNA is filed under the name uncultured bacterium. Its description in RNAcentral is "partial 16S ribosomal RNA". The record is from RNAcentral.